Molecule: ribosomal RNA, 498 nt
Filed under: uncultured bacterium
Lineage: Bacteria
Description: bacterial SSU rRNA
Rfam family: Bacterial small subunit ribosomal RNA
Source: RNAcentral
AGAGUUUGAUCCUGGCUCAGAUUGAACGCUGGCGGCAUACCUUACACAUGCAAGUCGAACGGCAGCACGGGAGCAAUCCUGGUGGCGAGUGGCGAACGGGUGAGUAAUAUAUCGGGACGUGCCCAGUCGUGGGGGAUAACGUAGAGAAAUUUACGCUAAUACCGCAUACGAUCUAAGGAUGAAAGCGGGGGAUCGCAAGACCUCGCGCGAUUGGAGCGGCUGAUAUCAGAUUAGGUUGUUGGUGAGGUAAAAGCUCACCAAGCCGACGAUCUGUAGCUGGUUUGAGAGAACGACCAGCCACACUGGGACUGAGACACGGCCCAGACUCCUACGGGAGGCAGCAGUGGGGAAUUUUGGACAAUGGGCGAAAGCCUGAUCCAGCAAUGCCGCGUGCAGGAAGAAGGCCUUCGGGUUGUAAACUGCUUUUGUACGGAACGAAACGGUCUGCCCUAAUACGGUGGGCUAAUGACGGUACCGUAAGAAUAAGCAACCCAGGGU